UCCUUACUGUUAACGCGAAAUCCGUCUCUCGGCCCCCAACCAUGUAAGAAAUGUACAUCCGCUACUUUAACAGGACGUCAUCAGUGGGCGGGAACUCUGGGCUGAGAAAACUAAUCUCUCAAAUGAUUGGUAGAACUGGGCUUUUCACCAGUUUCGUCCAAUCGGAGACUCUGUUACAAGGAGAUCCUUACGGCAAAACAGACACCGGCAAUUAGAAGUGGAUAUUUAUUAGUUAUGGUCCGUUAUUUCCAUUCCCAGAGUGGAAACAUUUUUGUGUUCAUAUAUGGAAACCAUUUCAGCGAUCAUAUACUGAGGUCUGCAAGAAAAACAGAAAAUCGUGAGGUUCUACGGGGUGCUAUAAAGCUGUCUGGUGACUAAUACAAUUUUAAUAGUAAUAUAGUAGUUGACAUAAUACACAUUUCGCUAUGAAUUUCUGGUUUCCAUGGAAACAUUUUGGCGCACUUAAGCUCUCUGAAGUGCAUGAGAACUAAACUCUUACUGGAAACUUGAUCGCAUUGGCAGUUUAUACAACCUGGAGAGAGACAAGCGACAAGUCAAGCAGUGUGGGAAGCCAACAUCCUUCAAGGAUGAAGCAAAUGUCUGUCCCUGCCACCCCUGCCAGAGAGGUGACCCCCCCGGAAGCCCUGGGCUGCGUGCUGCUCCCAGGUCCGCUUUAAGGAGGACUUCUCCAAACCCCGAAAGGAGCUGUCCUCCCAGCGACGGGAGGCGUUCUCCCUGAGGUUUGCCGGCUGAUUGGUGACCAGGCAGAUCUUCCUCAGCACGGCUCGACGGAGGAGAAUGUAGACCCAAGGGUCCAGGAUCUGGUUCAAAGCGGCCAGGUGCACGCCCUUCAUCAUUAGAUAUCGGUAUUUCUCCAGGUCCUCCCCCAGCGACUCGUUGUGGGAUCGUAUUGCUGACAUCAAGCCCAAAAUCUGGGAAGCAGAGACAGAAUUUACUCCCGUUUAUAUCAAACAUUGACUUUCCACUGUCAUAUUUUCCCUUCGGUACGUGUUACAUAAUCGCUUGUUUUUAUACAAUUUCUCUACAUCCAGUCAUUUAAAAAUCAGACACAGUCAUAUAUACUACAUGUUACUGCUGCUGAUAUAUUCUAUGAAUAUUCAUUAAUUGUCAAGAAAUGUAUUUUAAUUCUAAAAACUUUCUUCACUUGGUGAUUCUUGACAGAUACAUUUCAACAGAGAAAUCUUUAGUUUUUGGAUGUUACCAUUUUCAAAAGUCUUGUAUUGUAAUUAUUUUUGAAGCUGCAAGGAAAAUAGAAGAAAAGAAGGAAUCUCACUGGUGUAGAGAGAAACACCCAGAGCAUAACUUUUGGGAUUGUCAUGCUACAUUGUUAAACAGGGCAGAUGUCGAAUGAAGGCCUCAUAGCUGAAUA
Molecule: long non-coding RNA, 1390 nt
Organism: Brienomyrus brachyistius
Lineage: Eukaryota; Metazoa; Chordata; Actinopteri; Osteoglossiformes; Mormyridae
Exons: 2
Source: RefSeq, a predicted model, not a curated record